This 468-nucleotide ribosomal RNA is filed under the name uncultured bacterium. Its description in RNAcentral is "partial 16S ribosomal RNA". It matches the Rfam family "Bacterial small subunit ribosomal RNA", at positions 28 to 507 of the family's 1533-position model. The record is from RNAcentral.
GACGAACGCUGGCGGCGUGCUUAACACAUGCAAGUCGAACGGAAAGGCCCUGCUUUUGUGGGGUGCUCGAGUGGCGAACGGGUGAGUAACACGUGAGUAACCUGCCCUUGACUUUGGGAUAACUUCAGGAAACUGGGGCUAAUACCGGAUAGGAGCUCCUGCUGCAUGGUGGGGGUUGGAAAGUUUCGGCGGUGGGGGAUGGACUCGCGGCUUAUCAGCUUGUUGGUGGGGGAGUGGCUUACCAAGGCUUUGACGGGUAGCCGGCCUGAGAGGGUGAACGGCCACAUUGGGACUAAGAUACGGCCCAGACUCCUACGGGAGGCAGCGGUGGGGAAUAUUGCACAAUGGGCGGAAGCCUGAUGCAGCAACGCCGCGUGCGGGAUGACGGCCUUCGGGUUGUAAAACGCUUUCGCCUGUGACGAAGCGUGAGUGACGGUAAUGGGUAAAGAAGCACCGGCUAACUACGUG